ACUAGACAUUGAUGCAGCCCAUUCAUCUGUUCAGGAAAGAAAAUAACUUUUUCAAUGUUAUAGUUUCCCCAAGAAAGUAGCUUUUUAAUCUAGUUGAAGAGAAGAGGAGAGUUAAAAGAGCAAAUGAAUAAUAUAUACCAGAUGAUUGAUCUUGCUGUAAGAGUGGUCCAAUCCAUCAGGGCUUCCCAGUGAUUCCCUAUUUGCACUUAGAUAUUCCUUUCUUUCUAAAGCCUAAAAUUUUAACAUUCAACAAGAGAGAUUAAUCCAAAUUAUAGUCUGUACAACUUGCGAAAAGUGCAGUACUCCCAAAACAAAUAAAUUAACAAGUACUUGUGUUAAAGCAUCUUGGAAUUUGUCCAUAGUGUUACUGCUCCUUUCUUCAAACCACUGAAGAAAAGGUGAAAGCUAUGCAUGUAAUCAGUAUAGUUAAAAUGAGGAAUAGGUAAUUCAAUUCAUUAGAGAGGUUUUACAUUUGUAUUUAUACAGUAGAAUAAUGUGUGAGAACCCUAACUAAGAAAUGUAUACAACAACUAUUAUGAUAACAACUAGUAGCUAACAGAAUAACAAACUUUGGUUAAGAUAAAUUCUUAUCUCCUAAUACCCUCCCGCAAGAUGGCAGACCGUGAAGAAAUGCCAAUCUUGUCACACCAUUUAUUAAAAGCUUGCGUUGAAAGAGCUUUAGUGAGUAAGUUCGCAAGCUGUUCUUUUGAGGAGACAUGAGUCACUCGCAAUGAGCCAUUUUGUACUUGCGACCUAACAAAGUGGUAGUCAACAGCUAUGUGUUUCAUCCUUGAGUGAAACACGGGAUUUGCAGCAACAUACGUGGCACUCAGAUUAUCACAAUAAAUAACCGGUGUAGAAGAGAUGUUCACCUGAAGUUCAGCUAAAAGAUUUCGAACCCAAGUAACAUCAGCAGAUGUGGAUGCCACUGACUUGUAUUCAGCUUCUGUGGAGGAUCUCGCAACUGACUUUUGCUUCUUGGAUGACCAAGCAAUAGGAUUGCGGCCAAGAAAAAUAAUAUUAGCACUUGUGGACGUGCGAUCAUCAGGAUUGCCGGCCCAGUCAUCAUCGGAAAAUGCAUGGAGAUCACACUUGGAAUCUCGUCGAAGAAAUAAACCUGUAUCAAAAGUACCAAUUAAAAAUCGCAACAACCGUUUAACCGCCGACCAGUGAUUAAUGGUUGGUCGAGAAGUGAACUGAGAAAGCCUAUUUACAGCAAAGGCAAUGUCUGGUCUAGUAAGUAAUAGAUACUGCAGUUUGCCAAUAACUCUGCGAAAACUGGAAACAUCAUCAAGAUGUGCUGAAUCAGCUAACCGAAGAGUGGAUGAUGUUGACAAUGGAGUAUUGACAGCCUUUGCACCCUCCAUUUCGCAAAUUCAAGUAUCUCCCUGAUAUAGUUUUGUUGAGAUAGAAAAAUUCCUGUUGGCAGUCGCUUGACUUCAACACCCAAAAAGUAACUUAAAUCACCCAAGUCUUUAACCGAGAAAUUGGAUUUGAGCUGAGAGAUAAAUUUUUCCACUGCUUCCAACUUCCUGUGAUGAUUAUAUCAUCAACGUAAACUAAAACAUAAAUAAUCAGUCUAUCACGAAUGUAAGUAAACAAGCAAGUAUCAGAGUGAGACUGAGCAAAUCCACUGUUAAUUAAAUAAUUUUUCAACUCCGAAUACCAAACCCUUGGUGCCUAUUUUAGCCCAUACAGAGAUUUAUGCAGUCGACAUACAGCAGUGAGAUCAUUACUAUCAACAUAUCUAGCAGGCUGUUCCAUGAAGACAGUCUCGGUUAAAUGCCCAUGCAAGAAAGCAUUAUUAAUAUCCACCUGUCUCAAUGGCCAAUCAUUAGUGACAGCAAUAGAUAACAAAAUGCGAAUGGUUGGAUGUUUGGCUACCGGAGAAAAUGUCUGAUCAUAAUCCAAACCAGGCCGUUGAGUAAAUCCUCUUGCAACGAGGCGUGCCUUGUUCCGAAUUGGUUUACCAUCCGAAUCAUAUUUGAUGCGAAAAAUCCAUUUGCAACUGACCACAUUAGUUGCCAUAGAUUUCGGCACCAAUGUCCAUGUCUUCUGUCUUUGUAAAGCAUCAUACUCUUCAUCCAUAGCAGCUCUCCACUGUAGAAUUUUUAAAGCUUGACUUACUGUUUUAGGAACAACCAACAAAGAAUCAUUAGCUUUUUCCGCAUUCAAACAUAAACGCUGCACAAGUUUGACAAUAUUGUUCUUGCCCCGAGUAACCAUCGGAUGAGUAUUCUGAGAGAGUCCGUUCUUAGGCUCUCCUUUCGCCAGCAGCUUCCCUGUGCGCAUAUCCUUUACACCAAAAGAGAAAGAAUUAAAAUAAACUUCCACAUCAUUUGUAUCACAAAAUUUAUGUACUGAGAUUAAGUUUCUAUUAAUAGUUGGCACGCAGAAAACAGCAUUCAACAUUAAAUUUCUUGUAGGAGUUGAGAAAGAAACAGAACCAGUAUGUGUUACAGGAUGACUCAUUCCAUCACCAAGCAUAACAUCUUCACUACCAUCAUACUCUGAAUGAAGAGAUAAAUUCUGGAUAUCCUGUGUCACAUGUUGAUUUGCCCCAGAAUCUAAAAGCCAUUUUGAAUUUGCAGACUGCUCAGCAAAAUUAACUUGAGGUUUGGAAGUCUGAGAAUUGGAGAAGAACCACGGACAUGCUUUCUUCAAUUUCCAACACUGUCUAGUUGUAUGUCCAGGUUUUUCACAAAAUUGGCAAACAAUACGACCUCUAUUGCCAGUUGAACCAGAGUUGUUCGAAUUUUUAUUCUGAGAUUGCUUCCCAGAACCACUGUGGUUAUUUCUUGUGCCUCCAGAAUAUGAUUGAUUCUGAGUAUAAUUAAUACUGACUUGAUUAGUAACAACAUUAGAGUCUCGAUUCAGCUAAGUCUCCACAUCUAUGAGCUUCUCAUGAAGUUCAUCAAAAGAGACAACAUUAUCUCUUACUCGCAAAGCCGCAGUGAUUUCUUUGUAAUCAGACGGAAGGCCAAGAAAAACAGACAAAGCAAAUUCAGCUGCAGAAACAGAAACACCUGCAGUUUCAAGUUGAAAAGAUAUAGACUUUGCCUUUUGCAAAUAUUCAGAUAUGGUUAAUGAUCCCUUCGUGAUCGUGAGCGGUUGCUCACGCAGACUCAUGAUGCGACUCUGCGAUGGUUUCGCAUACAUCUUUGAUAAUGAUUGCCAGACAUCAUAUGAGGUUUUGUCUCCAACAACAAACGGAGCAACUUCAGGUGACAAAGAAGCUAUUAACGCACUACGUAUAAACUGAUCUUGUCGAAAUAGGAAAGAAUUUCUAGUCGCCUCAGUUUUGCGAUCUUAUUCGACAAAGUUGAGAAAAUCAUAUCCGAUUAAAAGAGAAUACCAUUGGGUAUACCAAAUCUGAUAAUUGAAUGGAGUGAGUUUAAUUGGUGCCUGAGCAGAAGCAUUAAUCGAAAUUAAUUGAUUUGUUAGGGUAGGAUUAACAUUAAUCGAACCUGAUAGUGUUUGAGGAGAAGAGGAAGAAUCGUCAGGCUGUUUUGUGAGAUCAGUAGGGUUCGUCAUGAUUUGGAAUAAGGAUCGAGAGUACCGCUAAGUUUGAUGCUCUGAUACCAUAUAGUUAAAAUGAGGAAUAGGUAAUUCAAUUCAUUAGAGAAGUUUUACAUUUGUAUUUAUACAGCAGAAUAAUGUGUGAGAACCCUAACUAAGAAACGUAUACAUCAACUAUUAUGAUAACAACUAGUAGCUAACAGAAUAACAAACUUUGGUUAAGAUAAAUUCUUAUCUAAUUUAUCUCCUAAUAAUCAGAAAGUUGGCAGUGGAACUCAUGAAUCAAACUAAAAUACCUCAACAAAGUUUUAUACCCGUUUCUUGUAGUUCAAUAUAAUAAACUCUUGCUGCUUCAAAGUCAAAUUCUUAUUAUAAAUUACAACAAUUCACAAACUACUCCCAAGAAUAACAUAUGCAAAGGGAUUAGCCUCCAUCCCCCAUAUUUCCCUGCCAAAAAAAGAAGCAAGAAAAUAAAAAGAACUCAAAGGCUUCAAAUUAGUUUGUGGUUGGCACUGACUAAAUAUAAUGAUAUGAAAUGAUACUAUCUACAGGAACAGUGGAAUAGACAAUUCUCACGUCCUCAAGCUGUGAAAUUUCUCUAGCUGGAUCAAUCCAAGCACUGAAAAGCAAUACUGGAUCAACAUUUGAGCUCAAACUACAGAAUGACAAGAAAAAUUUUUGAAGUUUCAAAUAACUAUUUUGAAGCCUACAUUCCAUAAUAGCCGUAAAACUGUACUAGAACAUGGCUGUCAAUACCUCUACUUCUUGAAUCAGAUACGUGUGAUGUUUCUCCAAUUAUCUAAAAAAAGGUUUACCAGAUUUUGUUGAUCAAUUGGAUCAACAAAAUAUAAUGAAAAGUAUGCUCCAUAUUGAGGGCCUAAGAACUCAUGCAUCGACAAAAGUCUUAUCAGAACAUGUAUAUAGAAUCAGCAGGAGAGAAAAUAUGCAAUAAGAGCUGCAACUAAAUUUCACUUUGGAUUGCAAGAACAAAGUAAAACAUAACCUACUUCAGCAGGCCACCAAAUUUGGCAGUUCAUUUUUGCCUACACAACAUUUUCUGGAUUUACACAAACAAUAGUGCUUUCUGCAAUUUGAGAUUUCUCAGGAGUAGAUUCCGAAGUCGUGAAACUUGUCUGAUUACUGACAUUUUUAAAAGAAGAAAGAAAUAAACAUUUCAGUGAUCAGAUGGUUCAGAUUGACUAGAUAUAGUAACAAGUAGUACUCAUGGGUGCAGGACAAACCUAUCAUUGCAGUGAUAAUCAAUAACUGUAUGUUGGGCAGCUGAUUCAAGUCCUGUAACUGAAUUGUCACAGAAAUCAGAUAACAGUUUUGAAUUUGACUGCAGAAUUUCUGCACCCAACUAGAUGGAGCUCAGGCAAUUCUUUUUCAUCAGCUGGAGUGUAAUCCAAACUACUUGUCAAAACACUGAACAAACCAUGUCCAAGGGGACCUGUGGAUUACAUGUUCCAAAAACAUAUUGUCUCUAUAUACUAAAUCCACACUUCAUUGAAAUGAUAAUACAUCACAGCCAUAAAACUUACAACUGGAAAUUCAAAAGGUCAUGAUUUUAACAUAGCUGCAACAAAUUCAACCAGUUAAAACAGUAUCAACACUGAUACAGUAAUAGCCAGACCUUAGAAGUCUCCAUGAUGUAUUGGUAGUUGAUUAACAUAUAUGACAAUGUUAAACAUGUUGUAAUUAAAGUUCUCCAUCUCAGAAAGAAAAUAAUCAUUGAAAAAUUCUAAAACAAUAUAUGCAUUAAGAAUAACAGGAUGACCCUAAUAAUGCUCAGACGUGAAAAAGUACAAGCAAUUUCCAAAACCAGAGGAAAAAAAAUUAUAUACCAAAGCCCAAAUUUGACAAGGCAACAGGAAAAUUGAGAUAGCAAGCAAACAAAAUCCACAACAAAAACAAAAAAUUCUGAGAAACCACAGGCAAUUCGUUGGAACAAAGACUACCACAGAAAGAAAACCCUCAAUUGAGAAGUGAACAGAGAAAUUGAAAUGGCAUACCUGAAUUGGAGAUAAAACAAGAAGGAGAAGAAACGAAAGAAGAGAAAUCAGAACGGCGUUUAGUUGCAGGGUUCCUAGGCUGCUUUGGGUAAUUGGGAUUUUAUCAAGUAGGUGUAAUUUCUUCUUCCUCGUCUUUUUCCAAUCUUGUGAUCUCUUCUUCGCCAUUGCUGUGAAUUGGGAGUUGGUCUUCAAUUAUGAGAAAAGAGAAAGGAAUCAGAGAUUGAAGUCUAAGAAAUUUUAGUGGGUUUGCAAUCAUGGGCCAGCCCCAUCCCUGUUAC
Molecule: long non-coding RNA, 5809 nt
Filed under: Manihot esculenta (cassava)
Lineage: Eukaryota; Viridiplantae; Streptophyta; Magnoliopsida; Malpighiales; Euphorbiaceae
Description: long non-coding RNA (MESC_LNC011948)
Source: RNAcentral